Molecule: ribosomal RNA, 497 nt
Filed under: uncultured bacterium
Lineage: Bacteria
Description: partial 16S ribosomal RNA
Rfam family: Bacterial small subunit ribosomal RNA
Source: RNAcentral
GAUGAACGCUGGCGGCGUGCCUAAUACAUGCAAGUCGAGCGAACAGAUGAGGAGCUUGCUCCUCUGGCGUUAGCGGCGGACGGGUGAGUAACACGUGGAUAACCUACCUAUAAGACUGGGAUAACUUCGGGAAACCGGAGCUAAUACCGGAUAAUAUAUUGAACCGCAUGGUUCAAUAGUGAAAGACGGUUUUGCUGUCACUUAUAGAUGGAUCCGCGCCGCAUUAGCUAGUUGGUAAGGUAACGGCUUACCAAGGCAACGAUGCGUAGCCGACCUGAGAGGGUGAUCGGCCACACUGGAACUGAGACACGGUCCAGACUCCUACGGGAGGCAGCAGUAGGGAAUCUUCCGCAAUGGGCGAAAGCCUGACGGAGCAACGCCGCGUGAGUGAUGAAGGUCUUCGGAUCGUAAAACCCUGUUAUUAGGGAAGAACAAAUGUGUAAGUAACUAUGCACGUCUUGACGGUACCUAAUCAGAAAGCCACGGCUAACUACGUG